GCUACCUCCCACAAGACCAAUCUUGGAGAUACCUGCAGCUUCUUGUGGGUCUGAUCGGCAUCCAUUGUAUUGGAACCCAUUGGUUACAACACGAAUCUUUACGAUGGUUGGUGGCGAAUGGCAAAGACGAAGAGGUAAAAGUUUGGAUACGUAGAGCAGCAAAAUGGAAUAAAAAGGACCCAGAACAGAUUCUGAAAAGUUUUUACACGCCAUCAAACGAAGUAGAGACACUGCUUGCGAAUUCAGAUCAUCAAAUAACAGACAGAGAUGACGACUCAAUGAAAGAAAAAUACAAUAUCCUCGACAUUAUACGAGAAAGAAGAGUUUUAUUCAUAUCUUUUAUUCUGUGGACUGCUUGUUAAACAUUGUGGUUUUUUAAAAUACAUUUCUUGAUUUUUCAUUUAAAAAUGCAAGAGAAAUUGAACACGUUGAUCUAUGUUACAUAAAAGUUGUUGUUUACCUAGGUUUGUCGUCAUUUUGUCUUAUUACGCCCUCUACUUGAUGUCCAGUAGUUUAUCAGAAAACAGAUUUCUGAAUUUCUUCCUAAAUGCUUUGGCAGAAACUCCAAGUCAAUUUGUUCUAUGGGAUCUUAUCGGAAAGAUAGGUAGAAGAUAUACAUCAAUUGGCUUUUUCGCUCUCUCAGGAUUCUUCCUCAUUGCAUCUGCACUUAUUUUGAAAUAUACAGUCAACCUUAGUGUCCUGUCGAUGAUAUUU
Saccostrea cuccullata (small rock oyster) is the source of this 714-nucleotide long non-coding RNA. RefSeq lists it as uncharacterized. The transcript is spliced from 4 exons. NCBI's taxonomy places the organism in Eukaryota, Metazoa, Mollusca, Bivalvia, Ostreida, Ostreidae. The record is from RefSeq and is a predicted model, not a curated record.